UUAACAUGAUGGACUAUAGGACAGGACUGCUGCUUUUAACUCUCUGCUGGGCAGGUGUUGAUGGUCAGACUCUGACAGAAUCUGGACCAGUGGUUAAAAGGCCUGGAGGAUCCCACACACUGACCUGUACAGGCUCUGGAUUCACAUUCAGCAGCUACUAUAUGGCCUGGAUCAGACAGGCUCCUGGAAAAGGACUGGAGUGGAUUGCCUGGGUUCAGAGCAGUGGUGGCAGUGAGAAAUACUACUCUCAGUCAGUCCAAGGCCGGUUUACCAUCUCCAGAGACAACAGCAGACAGCAGCUGUAUCUGCAGAUGAACAGUCUGAAGACUGAAGAUUCUGCUGUUUAUUAUUGUGCUCGAGAGCCACAGUGACUGGAGUUGGUUG
Lates calcarifer (barramundi perch) is the source of this 384-nucleotide non-coding RNA. The record is from the annotation of a RefSeq genome assembly. NCBI's taxonomy places the organism in Eukaryota, Metazoa, Chordata, Actinopteri, Centropomidae.